RNAcentral lists this ribosomal RNA (413 nucleotides) under Acanthamoeba genotype T3. RNAcentral's name for it is "SSU rRNA". It matches the Rfam family "Eukaryotic small subunit ribosomal RNA", at positions 779 to 1096 of the family's 1831-position model. The record is from RNAcentral. Lineage: Eukaryota; Discosea; Longamoebia; Acanthamoebidae.
GGCAGAUCCAUUUUCUGCACCGAAUACAUUAGCAUGGGAUAAUGGAAUAGGACCCUGUCCUCCUAUUUUCAGUUGGUUUGCCGCGAGGACCAGGGUAAUGAUUAAUAGGGAUAGUUGGGGGCAUUAAUAUUUAAUUGUCAGAGGUGAAAUUCUUGGAUUUAUGAAAGAUUAACUUCUGCGAAAGCAUCUGCCAAGGAUGUUUUCAUUAAUCAAGAACGAAAGUUAGGGGAUCGAAGACGAUCAGAUACCGUCGUAGUCUUAACCAUAAACGAUGCCGACCAGCGAUUAGGAGACGUUGAAUACAAAACACCACCAUGCGAUUGCGGUCGUCUUUGGUGUCGCUCACAAGGCGGCAUCGGGACGGCUUAGCUCGCAUGGCACCGGUGAAUGACUCCCCUAGCAGCUUGUGAGAA